AUUGAACGCUGGCGGAAUGCUUUACACAUGCAAGUCGAGCGGCAGCGCGGGGGCAACCCUGGCGGCGAGCGGCGAACGGGUGAGUAACAUAUCGGAACGUACCCAGUCGUGGGGGAUAACUAUCCGAAAGGAUAGCUAAUACCGCAUACGUCCUGAGGGAGAAAGCGGGGGAUCGCAAGACCUCGCGCGAUUGGAGCGGCCGAUAUCGGAUUAGCUAGUUGGUGGGGUAAAGGCUCACCAAGGCGACGAUCCGUAGCGGGUCUGAGAGGACGACCCGCCACACUGGAACUGAGACACGGUCCAGACUCCUACGGGAGGCAGCAGUGGGGAAUUUUGCGCAAUGGGCGAAAGCCUGACGCAGCAACGCCGCGUGCGGGAUGAAGGCCUCGGUUGUAACGUACUUCUAGCAGGAAGAAGGACGAAAGUAGACGGUACCGUGCAGAAGAAGACACCGG
RNAcentral lists this ribosomal RNA (455 nucleotides) under uncultured bacterium. RNAcentral describes it as "bacterial SSU rRNA". It matches the Rfam family "Bacterial small subunit ribosomal RNA", at positions 29 to 497 of the family's 1533-position model. The record is from RNAcentral.